Molecule: ribosomal RNA, 366 nt
Filed under: uncultured eukaryote
Lineage: Eukaryota
Description: SSU rRNA
Rfam family: Eukaryotic small subunit ribosomal RNA
Source: RNAcentral
AGCUCCAAUAGCGUAUAUUAAAGUUGUUGCAGUUAAAAAGCUCGUAGUCGAAUUUCUGGCUGGCGUUGCACGCGCUUCGGUGUGUGUACCGUGCAGUCAUCCUCUUGAGAACUGUUCACACCUUCACUGGCUGUGGGCAGGUAUCAGGAAUUUUACUUUGAAAAAAUUAGAGUGUUUCAGGCAGGCAAUUGCCCGAAUACAUUAGCAUGGAAUAAUGGAAUAGGACUUCUCCCAUUUUGUUGGUUAUUGGUUGAAGUAAUGAUUAAUAGGGACAGUUGGGGGCAUUAGUAUUUAAUUGUCAGAGGUGAAAUUCUUGGAUUUAUUAAAGACUAACUAAUGCGAAAGCAUUUGCCAAGGAUGUUUUCA